This 253-nucleotide ribosomal RNA is filed under the name uncultured bacterium. RNAcentral's name for it is "partial 16S ribosomal RNA". It matches the Rfam family "Bacterial small subunit ribosomal RNA", at positions 524 to 776 of the family's 1533-position model. The record is from RNAcentral.
UACGGAGGGUGCAAGCGUUAUCCGGAUUUACUGGGUUUAAAGGGUGCGUAGGCGGCUUUGUAAGUCAGUGGUGAAAUAUGGCAGCUCAACUGUCAGGGUGCCAUUGAUACUGCGGAGCUUGAGUACAGAUGAGGUAGGCGGAAUUGACGGUGUAGCGGUGAAAUGCUUAGAUAUCGUCAAGAACACCGAUAGCGAAGGCAGCAUACUAGGCUGUAACUGACGCUGAGGCACGAAAGUGUGGGGAUCAAACAGG